GGAGACCAGGACACUGGAGGCAGCAGCUUGCAGCACAAGGAGAAUGGAGAAGGUCCUGAGAUGCCCACACUCAGGCCCUGACACUGAAGCAGGAUGUUUCUCUGACUCAUUCACGGGAUUCGUGACAGGUGUGCCUCCUUUACCAAGCCCAUUGCUCUCAACUCCUCACAGGAGGGAGCACACAAGCAAACAAGACGGGAACUGGAGUACAGGGGCGCUGGAACCAGCCAGCGAACUCCCUGCAGGCCCCGCGGCACUUUCGGGGGCGGGGGAUGGUGCCUGCGAUCCCCAAAACCCCAAAGGGCGUUUUUUACAGUGCUCUUUUAGCUCUGCUGACCGCGGAUGGCUUAAGUGUUAACAGCUCAGUGGGCCCUUUGCCUUUUCUCAUGAGUCGGCUGCCCUGUGCCAGCAAGGGCAAAGGGCCAGUGUAACAGCCUUUUGUAUCUGCACUCGUGGCUCCUGAGCUCCUGUUCGGCACACAGGAAAAAUGAGGUCGCACCAACAAACUGAAGGAUGGUAAAUGUUGAGGAUUUUAUUGCCAAUGAAAGCGGCUGUCACUGGGAGCUGAAAAGGUAAUGGAAAGCUGAAAAGCGGAUAAGGUGGGUAGGUACCUGAAGUCUGGCCAUCUACGGCAGCUGGAUUCUUCUCCAAAGUUAUACUGUCAAGCUGUCCCUCUGAAGCCAAGCCACUUCUCUUUGACAUCCAGCCGUAGUCUCUGCUCCUCUCCAACUGAGUAUGAGGGAGAUGUUUCCUAUUAUCCUUGAUAAUGUGCCAUGAACAUAUGAAAAAACAUAGAAACAUGAAGAAAACAAGAAGACAAAAAUCACUAACAUCUGGUUGGCUGUAUAGAAACAAAGCUGAUUCUGGUCUCGCUCUAUACCCCAGGUUGGAGUGCAGUGGUAAGAUCACAGCUCACUGCUGCCUUGACUUCCUGGGCUCAAGUGAUUCUCCUGCCUCAGUCUCCUCAGUAGCUCGGACUACAGCUUGCAAAUGGAUCUUACAGACGUUGUCACAGAGACAAGAAAAGUAA
This is a long non-coding RNA of Homo sapiens (human), 1030 nucleotides long. Ensembl annotates it as long intergenic non-protein coding RNA 2334. NCBI's taxonomy places the organism in Eukaryota, Metazoa, Chordata, Mammalia, Primates, Hominidae. The record is from Ensembl.